This 492-nucleotide ribosomal RNA is filed under the name uncultured bacterium. RNAcentral describes it as "partial 16S ribosomal RNA". It matches the Rfam family "Bacterial small subunit ribosomal RNA", at positions 29 to 507 of the family's 1533-position model. The record is from RNAcentral.
AGUGAACGCUGGCGGUAGGCCUAACACAUGCAAGUCGAGCGGCAGCACAGUAAGAGCUUGCUCUUACGGGUGGCGAGUGGCGGACGGGUGAGGAAUACAUCGGAAUCUACUUUUUCGUGGGGGAUAACGUAGGGAAACUUACGCUAAUACCGCAUACGACCUACGGGUGAAAGCAGGGGAUCUUCGGACCUUGCGCGAUUGAAUGAGCCGAUGUCGGAUUAGCUAGUUGGCGGGGUAAAGGCCCACCAAGGCGACGAUCCGUAGCUGGUCUGAGAGGAUGAUCCGCCACACUGGAACUGAGACACGGUCCAGACUCCUACGGGAGGCAGCAGUGGGGAAUAUUGGACAAAGGGCGCAAGCCUGAUCCAGCCAUACCGCGUGGGUGAAGAAGGCCUUCGGGUUGUAAAGCCCUUUUGUUGGGAAAGAAAAGCAGCAGGUUAAUACCCCGCUGUUCUGACGGUACCCAAAGAAUAAGCACCGGCUAACUUCGUG